RNAcentral lists this ribosomal RNA (376 nucleotides) under uncultured bacterium. Its description in RNAcentral is "bacterial SSU rRNA". It matches the Rfam family "Archaeal small subunit ribosomal RNA", at positions 477 to 853 of the family's 1478-position model. The record is from RNAcentral.
CAGCACCCCGAGUGGUCGGGACGAUUAUUGGGCCUAAAGCAUCCGUAGCCGGUCUUGCAAGUCUUCCGUUAAAUCCAGCUGCUUAACGGAUGGGCUGCGGAAGAUACUACAAGACUAGGAGGCGGAAGAGGCAAGCGGUACUCAGUGGGUAGGGGUAAAAUCCUCUGAUCCAUUGAAGACCACCAGUGGCGAAGGCGGCUUGCCAGAACGCGCUCGACGGUGAGGGAUGAAAGCUGGGGGAGCAAACCGGAUUAGAUACCCGGGUAGUCCCAGCUGUAAACGAUGCAGACUCGGUGAUGGGCCGGCUUCAUGCCGGCUCAGUGCCGCAGGGAAGCCGUUAAGUCUGCCGCCUGGGGAGUACGGUCGCAAGACUGAA